Long non-coding RNA from Lycium barbarum (goji berry), 1045 nucleotides. RefSeq lists it as uncharacterized. The transcript is spliced from 3 exons. The record is from RefSeq and is a predicted model, not a curated record. NCBI's taxonomy places the organism in Eukaryota, Viridiplantae, Streptophyta, Magnoliopsida, Solanales, Solanaceae.
GUACAACCCUAGUUCAUUUUAUUUUAGAUAGAGAGGGAAUCACCCUCAUUUGGGUCUUCUUAAACCAGAUUGUGCCUCACAAUUUGGGUAUUAGGGUUCUUCAUUUUUUUAUUGAUUUCAGCCCCAUUUCCCUCUCCUACCAGCCUUCCGCGCUUAUUUUUUUAUGUUCCUUUCUUGAUGAGCAUGUAAACCUUUGAUUAUAUUCUUUUUGGAGAUUAUUGAUUUUUAAUCUAGAUUUUGUGAUUUUCAAUUCUCUUUCUUCACCCUUUUUUAUAAAUUAUGUCAUACUUGUGGUUAUUUGUAUAUCGACAACAAGAGGAGAACUUUGAUGCAAUCAGGCUGUUUGGUGAAAUUUCCAAGUGAAAGAAAAAUAGUUACAGCAGAUUCAUGCUUGGAAAAGUUAUGCUCAUGUUAACAAUUGGAAUGACUAAGCUAUAAGUCAAGAUAUCAAGUUCCUGUAUUCAUAUUGAGGAAUGUGGGGUUACAAUAUAUGCUUCAAUGUCUUUGCAACCAACAAAGAACUCAGACCUCCAGUUUCACUUUUAUUACUUGAAAAUGCGACAGAACUAUCAGUGAGUACUUACGAAUCCAAUGUGUUUUUACCAAAGAAAUCUCAGCUCCAGUUUCACCUUUGUUACAUUACUUGAAGAUACAACAGAGCCAUCAGUGAGUACUUACAAGUUCAAGGAGCAGUACUCAAUGCUAUAUGGUGAAGCAAAGUAGCUAAAUACCUAAUUUGUGUGGCAAAUGGAUUCGUAGGAGUUGAUGAAAAUGCAACUCUAAGAACUUGAUGUCACUGAAUGUGAUACCAUUUUAUUUUGGUACUUUGUUGGGUUGGCUACUUUUGAGUUUUGGAUGAAUUGGUUGAGAUAGAUGCAGAGUUUGAUGUAAAAAUCACGUUUGAUGGGGUUUUUUUUGUCCUAGAGAAUCUUCAUCUUCCUUUCUUCCCUUUUUAAUGAUGUCAAUACUUCAUGAAUUUCCUUGCAUGAAUUAUCUAUUCUUGCUCAUCUAUUCUUCUCCUUUUAAGAUUGUAAAUGAUCUUGGA